This 704-nucleotide ribosomal RNA is filed under the name uncultured archaeon. RNAcentral's name for it is "bacterial SSU rRNA". It matches the Rfam family "Archaeal small subunit ribosomal RNA", at positions 329 to 1037 of the family's 1478-position model. The record is from RNAcentral.
GGUGCAGCAGGCGCGAAAACUUUUCAAUGCGCGAAAGCGUGAGAAGGGAAUUCCGAGUGCUCAACAUAGUUGGGCUUUUGCUAAGUGUAAAUAGCUUGGCGAAUAAGGGGUGGGUAAGACUGGUGCCAGCCGCCGCGGUAACCCCAGCGCCCCGAGUGGGAAUCACGAUUAUUGGGUCUAAAGCGUUCGUAGCAGGCUUUGUAAAUCUCUUGUGAAAUCGACAGGCUUAACUUGUCGGCGUGCAGGAGACACUGCAGGGCUCGAGACCGGGAGAGGUUAGAAGUAUUCCUUGGGUACCGGUAAAAUGGGUUAAUCCAAGGAGGACUACCAAUGGCGAAGGCAUCUGACCAGAACGGUUCUGACUGUGAGGAACGAAAGCUAGGGGAGCAAAACGGAUUAGAUACCCGAGUAGUCCUAGCCGUAAACGCUGUGAGCAAGGUAUUGCGCAUCCCACGAGGAUGCGCAGUGUCGAAAUGAAGAUGUUAAGCUCACCACCAGGGAAGUACGGUCGCAAGGCUGAAACUUUAAGGAAUUGGCGGGGGAGCGCCACAAGGGGUGCGGCGUGCGGUUCAAUCUAACUCAACGCAGAGAACCUCACUAGGCCCGACGGCAGGAUGAAGAUCAUGUUGAAGACAUUAUCUUGACGAGCCCGAGAGUAGUGCAUGGCCGUCGCCCACUCUGCUUUGAAGUGUCCAGUNAGUCUG